Molecule: long non-coding RNA, 760 nt
Organism: Schistocerca gregaria
Lineage: Eukaryota; Metazoa; Arthropoda; Insecta; Orthoptera; Acrididae
Exons: 2
Source: RefSeq, a predicted model, not a curated record
GAAUUUCUCAAGCGCAAGCGCAGCUGUGGAAUUGUGACAGCGUUUGCUCGAAUGUCGGUUAUAAGGGAUGUCCUCGCUGCAUGGGAGAAAACAACUAUUUAUUUUACAUACUACAAAGACUGUUCUUUUUUCGUUGGUGAAUGAAAUAUAUUUUCGGAAUAAAUAUUUGCCCACGAUGACAAUUAAACAGCCCGAUUCCUUAGUAUAUUUGGCUGUUCGUCAAUGGGCUAGUGUGCCAUAGAGCCGCUCCCUCUCCCCCUCUACUUCCUUACAGCUCUUGGUUAUAAUCACAAGACUGAUCUGUAGCGUAGCCUAUGGUCUGGGUUAGAUGGGAAGAUGAUAUUGGUUCCUGGCGAAGCCAACGAAUGUGAACGAGAAAUAAAGACUGUGGGUAAAGUCAAGUGCCAUCAUACUGUUUGGGAAUGCUAGAGCAGAGAGGGCUGUGAAGAACACAUCAACCAACUGCACAUGGACCAGCCCCUCUCUAGGAUGACAACCUGACAGCAGCAGCCUCAACAUGAAGAGGACGUAAAUGCCACACCACACCACCUGGCAAUGGCCCAGUUAAAGACUAGCCAAUUCUAUGAGUUCUACACCAGUGAAUUCAAGCAUAACACCGAGACUAAUCAUUUUGCUUCUACUAUGCAGCAUACUGAAGGGAUUUCUAUUUUGUCUGUCACUUUUUGCCUGUGACACAUUUGUAUUUCACAAAGUUAAGUAUUGUAAUCAUUUCCUUUGGUAAUAAACUCCAUUAAUACAA